RNAcentral lists this ribosomal RNA (468 nucleotides) under uncultured bacterium. RNAcentral describes it as "partial 16S ribosomal RNA". It matches the Rfam family "Bacterial small subunit ribosomal RNA", at positions 28 to 507 of the family's 1533-position model. The record is from RNAcentral.
GACGAACGCUGGCGGCGUGCCUAACACAUGCAAGUCGAACGGAAAGGCCCUGCUUUUGUGGGGUGCUCGAGUGGCGAACGGGUGAGUAACACGUGAGUAACCUGCCCUUGACUUUGGGAUAACUUCAGGAAACUGGGGCUAAUACCGGAUAGGAGCUCCUGCUGCAUGGUGGGGGUUGGAAAGUUUCGGCGGUUGGGGAUGGACUCGCGGCUUAUCAGCUUGUUGGUGGGGUAGUGGCUUACCAAGGCUUUGACGGGUAGCCGGCCUGAGAGGGUGACCGGCCACAUUGGGACUGAGAUACGGCCCAGACUCCUACGGGAGGCAGCAGUGGGGAAUAUUGCACAAUGGGCGGAAGCCUGAUGCAACAACGCCGCGUGCGGGAUGACGGCCUUCGGGUUGUAAACCGCUUUCGCCUGUGACGAAGCGUGAGUGACGGUAAUGGGUAAAGAAGCACCGGCUAACUACGUG